UACAGAGGGGGCAAGCGUUGUUCGGAAUUACUGGGCGUAAAGGGCGCGUAGGCGGCCCGUCAAGUCGAACGUGAAAUCCCCGGGCUCAACCCGGGAACUGCGUCCGAUACUGGCGGGCUCGAAUUCGGGAGAGGGAUGCGGAAUUCCAGGUGUAGCGGUGAAAUGCGUAGAUAUCUGGAGGAACACCGGUGGCGAAGGCGGCAUCCUGGACCGAUAUUGACGCUGAGGCGCGAAAGCCAGGGGAGCAAACGGG
Molecule: ribosomal RNA, 253 nt
Filed under: uncultured Acidobacteriota bacterium
Lineage: Bacteria; Pseudomonadati; Acidobacteriota
Description: uncultured Acidobacteria bacterium partial 16S ribosomal RNA
Rfam family: Bacterial small subunit ribosomal RNA
Source: RNAcentral